CGCACCAGUUCCUCACCCUUGUAAAAAAAAAAACAGUUCCUCACCCAUCCCGCGGCCCCACCACUGCUCCCAUUUCCGCACGCAUCUAUCAACGCGACACCGCCGGCGAUGAGCGCGAAGCAGCUCUGCGACGCCUUGGCCGCCGCGGGGUUCGACAGCGGAGAUCCGCUCGACCCGGAGAGCCUCGAUUGGGCGUUCCUCCAAGGAGACGACUCCAGCCGCGUGCUCGCGUGGAUCGCCGCCCGCCUACGCCGCGCCAACGUCCUCUCCGCCUCCGACCUCGAACUCUAUGAUCAGCUUGAACUAGAAGGGAAGCUUUUGGAGGGGAAAGACUUGGAUUCCGCUUUCGACAGUAUUUCGGCGUUCUCAGAAACUGGAGAGAACCAUGAAUACACAUUCCUGUCGGAAGAAAGUCUGGGAGACAUCCGCGACUCAAAACUAGCACUUAGAGCUGAAGUUUCUGAUUUGGAAAAAAAGCUCGCUUCUCUGGAAUGGCAGCUUGAUUUGCUUACAGCACAAGCUACCACCAUCACGCAGGGAAAGAAAUCCCGCACAUCUGCUAAAACUAGCGCAACUGGAAAACUCGCGAGAUUUGAUGAGGAACUUGCCAAGAGAAGUUUAGAGAUGAAUGCAGUACUUGGAAAACUUGUUGCUACGAUCCAGGAGUUGUCUUACUAUCAUUCAGAAGCUGAUAUUGGCGUCUACCUGUCAUACUGUGAUUUCCAAUCAUAUGUAAUCAGUAACCUGGCUUGUACCAAAGAACUUAACACAUGGUUCACUAAGAAGUUUGAGAAGGGAGCUCUCCGGUUUGUUGCCAAAGAAGACAUGCCAAGGGGAGAUUCCGAAAAGCCUCGUCAUUUUGUGGUCGAACUAAAGCGAAUUAAUUCAGUGAGGAGAAAUUCUGAACUUACAGAAGAGCUGAAGGAUCUCUCCCUUCAAGUGCAGGAAUGCCUAUCCGAGACUGUCGCAAGCUUGUGUUCUGACCUGGCUCGACUUGAGGGUGCAAAUAUUCUGCAAGGUGUGAUCUUGUCAUGACUCAGUAAGCAUUUGAAAGUGUUUUGCGGUAUUGAGCUUGGCGCUUCAUGUUGCUACCUAUGACCUUCUAGGGGAUCAUAACUUGAUUGUUCAUCGCCAGGAAUGCUACAUAAGCCAGCAAAAAAGGUUCAUCAAUCAUUUGGUGAAUCAGCUUGCUGCUCAUCGGUUUCUGGCGAUAGCCUGCCAGCUUGAAAGACGGACAAAAAUUUCGAGUGCCUAUUCAUUGUUGAAAGCUACAGAAAUGGAGCUGCAGAGCUACGUAUUAGCUGUCAAUAGUCGCCUGGACCAAUAUCAUCUAAUUGGCGAAGCCGCGUCUAGCAUGAUCGAAGAAGGGUCUAUUGAUGACCGGGAUACUUUUCUCCAUGCUGUGAGGGAUAUUCUUAGCAGUUACUCAGGUUCUCAAACAAUGACACCAACAUAUGUUUCAGCAUGUGCUUUGGUUGAGCAGAUAUCUGAGCUGGAGGAUGAGCUCCACUGUUAUCAGCAUGAGCUUGAAAAUGUUCUUCCACGUGAACGGGGAAGAUUUAUCGAUGAACAAUGCAGGAUGGUCCAAACACUCGAGCAGAUUUUAUCUGUACCCGUUACACAUAUGCUACCAAAAUUUACACCAUGGCCACUGGCGCAAGCACUUGAAGAAUUGGAAAUGAUCAGCUAUGAAGUCUAUGCUUCUGUUAAUGAAGUAACGAUGGCUCGAGAGGAAAAGACCAAGAUGUUACAGCAGCCUUCACGCAAUGCGCAGCAGGAAAGACGAGUAUUCGCCGAUUUCUUCUGCCAUCCAGGACGGCUUGAGAAUCAAGUCAGAGAGCUGACUUCUCGUGUUAGAGGAAUCCCGGAGUAAUGUUGGGUAGGGUGGUCAAUAAGGCAAGUGCAGAGUCUUGUUUGCAUUCUUGUCUUGCUCAGCUCGAAGGCUUUCCUCCGGAGGUUUUUUACUUUUUUUGAAAACACAAGAUUUAUUCAUUCAAAAUAACAAGUACAUCGUUUACGAGGAGGGUACAAUU
RNAcentral lists this ribosomal RNA (2033 nucleotides) under Triticum aestivum (bread wheat). RNAcentral describes it as "partial small subunit ribosomal RNA". Lineage: Eukaryota; Viridiplantae; Streptophyta; Magnoliopsida; Poales; Poaceae. The record is from RNAcentral.